Dermacentor silvarum is the source of this 394-nucleotide long non-coding RNA. RefSeq lists it as uncharacterized. The record is from RefSeq and is a predicted model, not a curated record. The transcript is spliced from 3 exons. NCBI's taxonomy places the organism in Eukaryota, Metazoa, Arthropoda, Arachnida, Ixodida, Ixodidae.
AGCUUAUUCUGGGCAAGCGCGAAUAGAAAAUGGAAAGGAAAUCAUGGAAGUCCCCACUACUGAUACGAAUGGGAUAUCAGACAACCAGAAAAUCAAGAAAACGCUAGAAUAUUGGGAUGACAAUCAGAAAUGCGGAAUUUUCAGGUUCGAAAAGAAUGGUAAAACAGAGCACGAACUCCACGUGUGGGAAGAAAAACUAAGGGCUCAGUACGAAAAAACUGGAGAAUACAGAGGCUGCGAAGAAGCGCUGAAAACGUACUGCAAGAAGGACAAAAACCAGCGCUUUCAGGGAAAGUGCAGUAAUAUACAUCUCAUUAAUCGUAGCCAUUCGUCAAAUUACGAACUAAUGAAGAAAAUAACUGGUCAACAUUAAUAAUACUUAAAAGCAAGUGGG